GCCGGAUCGAACUGCAAGCUGAAAAGCACAGCUAUUAAUGACACUGCCAGAGCUGCCUUUGCAUUCAGGAACUCGACAUUUAUGUUUAGGAGCCUUUUCACUUACACAGAAAUACAAUACCACAUCUACUGCUAGCAUCUCUUUUGGGACAUUACUGUGAAUUGUCAGAACAGAGGCCAAAUUAAAGGUUACUCCACCGUUAAAUCGAGAAACGCCUUUAGUAGCACAUGAACACUGUCAGAGUGGAGUUUCUGAAGCCUUUGAGCUGGAUCAGCAAUUGCUGACAACAGCACAUGCACAUCUCCAAUGCACGGAGUAUGGUAUUAACGGAGCAGCUCUGCAGUCAGAAGUUCAAACACCCAGGCUGUCCUGCUUACCUCCAUUACCAACUGAUGAGCUCUCGAAACCAACGUAAGGCCGUUAGCAUGGUUAAAGGUUUCUGAAAUAUCCUGUCCAAACGUAUAACCUGCACCUCGAGGAGAAAUGCCCCAGCCACCACGAUCAUCCGGGUCUGACCAUAACAAGUCACACAUUGGACCCUGCAACAGACACAGAAGAUGUUUCAGGAACAGAGUGCAAAAAACCAAACCCAAACAAAACCCCAGUAAACCUCCACGUGCACCACCCCUGCACAACGAGUGCAUUAAUACUGCCAAGAAGGUGACCUGAAUGAAGAAUAUUCACAGCAGCAGUUCUCACCUCCAACAUCAUUCAGUUGUACCUGUUGUGAUUCCAGGCACACUACAAUGUUUCUUUCUUUAGGCAAGAGCCUGCCCCUUCACAAAACUGCAACAGGAAGCCAGGCACUUUCAACCUGCUAAGUUGUGAAUUUCAUUUUCAGCCUGUGUACUCAAGCACGCAGUAUGUGCUGAAUCAUGGAUCCCACCAGUUCAGAAGGUUAGUUGUCAGUACCUCAUGGGGAACUUCCUGCAAGCGAUCAAGUGCUCUGAUGUGAUCCAGUGUAUCUAUCGAUGGAGACAGGCCACCGUGUAGGCAGAAAAUCUGCAACAAUGAGAUAUAAUCAAUGUAAAUGAAACUUCAUCUAUCAGUACAAUUGUAAUUGAUCAGUACAAAUAAUUAGGAUAAAAAUCAUCAAGAGCUUCCUUUAAAACUGAGAGCUGAUACAAUACAGUAUUAUCAGCUCCUCUUACAACUAGGAACGUUUAACACCACCAAAUACCAACGUACCUGGCCAUCCACCAAGGCAGUUAGAGGCAGGUAAUCAAAAAGGUCUGUGAAGUAUUUCCAAACGUUUGCAUUUCCGUAUUUUCUUAAACAUUCAUCAUAGAAACCAUA
Long non-coding RNA from Pezoporus occidentalis (night parrot), 1296 nucleotides. RefSeq lists it as uncharacterized. The transcript has 2 exons. Lineage: Eukaryota; Metazoa; Chordata; Aves; Psittaciformes; Psittacidae. The record is from RefSeq and is a predicted model, not a curated record.